Non-coding RNA from Alexandromys fortis (reed vole), 615 nucleotides. Lineage: Eukaryota; Metazoa; Chordata; Mammalia; Rodentia; Cricetidae. The record is from the annotation of a RefSeq genome assembly.
AUGGAGGGGAAACUGGGAGCUGUGCUGGGGAUUCUGUGGGUGCACAUUUGCUGGGUGCGAGGAGUUGAGGUGCAGCAGAGUCCUUCAGCUCUGAAACUCUACGAGGGAACCAUUUCUGCUCUGUCAUGCAAUUUUUCUACCAGCAUCAUGAGUUUGCAGUGGUUCCAGCAGAAUCGUAGGGGCAGCUUCAUCAAUCUUUUUUACCAGGCUCCAGGAACAAAGGUGAAGGGGAGGUUAAAGUCUACAUUUGACUCCAAGGAGCGGUACAGCACCCUGCACAUCAGGGAUGCCCAGCUGGAGGACUCAGGCACCUACUUCUGUGCUGCAGAGGCACAGUGCUUCCAUCAAGCCUGCAGCCUGGCCCCAAAUUGCAGCUGUUCAUGCAGCUACAGCCCUGACAUGGGGAGACUCUACAGGAGACUUUUCACAGUGGAGGCUUUAUCAGACCACCAAUUACAAAGAAGGAGUAUUGUAGUUGAUGCUAAAACUACACAGCCAGAUUCAAUGGAAAGUAUUGAAGAAGAAACUGUACACUUGCCUUGUAGCCACUCCGCCAUCAGUGGGAGCGAGUACAUUUACUGGUACCGACAGGUUCCUCUUCGAGGUCCAGAAUAA